CCUACGGGAGGCAGCAGUGAGGAAUAUUGGUCAAUGGACGAGAGUCUGAACCAGCCAAGUAGCGUGAAGGAUGACUGCCCUAUGGGUUGUAAACUUCUUUUAUAUGGGAAUAAAACGUUCCACGUGUGGGAUUUUGUAUGUACCAUAUGAAUAAGGAUCGGCUAACUCCGUGCCAGCAGCCGCGGUAAUACGGAGGAUCCGAGCGUUAUCCGGAUUUAUUGGGUUUAAAGGGAGCGUAGGUGGAUUGUUAAGUCAGUUGUGAAAGUUUGCGGCUCAACCGUAAAAUUGCAGUUGACACUGGCAGUCUUGAGUACAGUAGAGGUGGGCGGAAUUCGUGGUGUAGCGGUGAAAUGCUUAGAUAUCACGAAGAACUCCGAUUGCGAAGGCAGUUCACUGGACUGCAACUGACACUGAGGCUCGAAAGUGUGGGUAUCAAACAGGAUUAGAUACCCCAGUAGUC
Molecule: ribosomal RNA, 460 nt
Filed under: uncultured bacterium
Lineage: Bacteria
Description: partial 16S ribosomal RNA
Rfam family: Bacterial small subunit ribosomal RNA
Source: RNAcentral